RNAcentral lists this ribosomal RNA (253 nucleotides) under uncultured bacterium. Its description in RNAcentral is "partial 16S ribosomal RNA". It matches the Rfam family "Bacterial small subunit ribosomal RNA", at positions 524 to 776 of the family's 1533-position model. The record is from RNAcentral.
GACAGAGGUUGCAAGCGUUGUUCGGAAUUACUGGGCAUAAAGCGCACGUAGGCGGUCCGCUAAGUCAGGUGUGAAAUCCCCGGGCUUAACCUGGGAACUGCGCUUGUAACUAGCGGGCUAGAGUGCGGCAGAGGGGGGUGGAAUUCCACGUGUAGCAGUGAAAUGCGUAGAUAUGUGGAGGAACACCGAUGGCGAAGGCGGCGUCCUGGACCAACACUGACACUGAUGAGCGAAAGCCAGGGGAGCAAACGGG